RNAcentral lists this ribosomal RNA (461 nucleotides) under uncultured bacterium. Its description in RNAcentral is "bacterial SSU rRNA". It matches the Rfam family "Bacterial small subunit ribosomal RNA", at positions 1 to 507 of the family's 1533-position model. The record is from RNAcentral.
UAGUCACGUAGUUUGAUCAUGGCCUCAGAACGAACGCUAGCGGCAUGCCUAACACAUGCAAGUCGAACGAGACCUUCGGGUCUAGUGGCGCACGGGUGCGUAACGCGUGGGAACCUGCCUUUAGGUUCGGAAUAACUCAGAGAAAUUUGAGCUAAUACCGGAUAAUGUCUUCGGACCAAAGAUUUAUCGCCUUUAGAUGGGCCCGCGUUGGAUUAGCUAGUUGGUGGGGUAAAGGCCUACCAAGGCGACGAUCCAUAGCUGGUCUGAGAGGAUGAUCAGCCACACUGGGACUGAGACACGGCCCAGACUCCUACGGGAGGCAGCAGUGGGGAAUAUUGGACAAUGGGCGAAAGCCGGAUCCAGCAAUGCCGCGUGAGUGAUGAAGGCCUUAGGGUUGUAAAGCUCUUUUACCCGAGAUGAUAAUGACAGUAUCGGGAGAAUAAGCUCCGGCUAACUCCGUG